RNAcentral lists this non-coding RNA (29 nucleotides) under Mus musculus (house mouse). Lineage: Eukaryota; Metazoa; Chordata; Mammalia; Rodentia; Muridae. The record is from RNAcentral.
UAUCAGGAUAACAGUCCAGGCUCUCCUGA